Labrus mixtus (cuckoo wrasse) is the source of this 2217-nucleotide RNA transcript. It is a transcript of the gene named cellular communication network factor 1, like 2, with no coding region annotated. Lineage: Eukaryota; Metazoa; Chordata; Actinopteri; Labriformes; Labridae. The transcript is spliced from 6 exons. The record is from RefSeq and is a predicted model, not a curated record.
AAACCUCUCUAUGAAGUAGAGCUGAGCUUGAACUGACCUGUGCUGACACCAGAGCAGACGGGUGUACCUCUGCACGGUGCACGGACGCUGAACUGUGGAUACCUUUUUAUCCUGGAGCUGAAAAUCAAGACUUCUCUCCUCUUUGGACCGUGGAAUCUUAUUUUUUAUUUCUUUAUUCUUUUAAAAAGUUUGUUUCUAUUUUUGUUAGUCUGCUGUUUUCAGGAUGCUUGGCCCUGUUACUUUGCAGCAGAUCAUUUCCUACCUGUUCAUGCUCUGCAGCGCUGCAGUGAUGGCAGAGGGAGAGUGCCCUGCUGAGUGCUCCUGCGCAGCCUCACCCCCGAUGUGCCCGCCGGGCGUCAGCUGGGUGACCGACCACUGCGGCUGCUGUAAAGUUUGUGCAAGGCAGUUCAAUGAGGACUGCAGCGCCGCUGAACCCUGCGAUCACAUCAAGGGGCUACGCUGCCACCUGGGGGCCGGAGGGGACCCUGAGAGAGGACUGUGUCGAGCUGAGGCCCAGGGAUUGCCUUGCGAGUUCAACGGACGGGUGUACCAGCACGGCGAGGACUUCCAGCCUGACUGCCAGCACCAGUGCACCUGCAUGGACCGGGUGGUGGGCUGCAUGCCCCUCUGCCCACAGCGAAUCCCUCUUCCAGACUGGCGCUGCUCACGGCCUCGGCUGGCGAGGCCAGAGGGCGGCUGCUGUGAGGAAUGGGUGUGUGACGACAACAACCACAUCAGUGAGGAGCCAGACGAGCUGACACACACCUCCAUGCCAGACGGACGGCCCCUCCCCAACCACAUCAGUGUCCUGCUGGAGGCCCAGCCGCAUCCCCGACACCCAGCUGCCACCGGAGGGGCCACGCUCAGAGAGAUGGUGUCGUUCCCCAUGUCUGAGGGGUUUCUAGAAUCCCGCUGUUUCCCGCAGACGACAGAGUGGACCCAGUGCUCCACCACGUGUGGGAUGGGGAUCUCCAGUCGAGUGACCAACAACAACCCGGACUGUCAGCUGGUCCGAGAGACCAGACUGUGCCAGAUCCGGCACUGUGAGCUGCAGCUUCCUCUCGCUAACAAGAAGGGGAAGAAGUGUCAGAAAACAGUCCGCCCCCAGGAGCCAGUCAGGAUCACCUUUGCUGGAUGUUGGACGUCACAGAGGUACCGCCCUCGUACCUGUGGGAUAUGCACAGACGGCCGCUGCUGCACACCCUCCAUGACCCGCACUGUGAGGCUCCGCUUCCACUGCUCUGAUGGAGAGGGCUUCUACAGAAACGUCAUGUGGAUCCAGCGCUGCAGCUGCAGUACAAGCUGUCAUUCACACAGUGGGUCCUCCAUCCCGUCGGUCAGCCUCCACAACGACAUCCACACCUUCAGGCACUGAGGAGGAGGACUCAUCAGACCCAGCCCGGGGCCUUACACAAUGACUCUGCACCUUCCCCCUCACCCAAACACAACCCCCCCCCCACCUGUCUGUCAGCUGGGCGAGCUCCUGCCUCCCCCUCCCACAACCAGCCAGGCAAUAUGUUCGCUUGCACUUUAACAUUUCCUGCCACGAUGAUGUCACAGUUUGUCUGCACUAAAGGUGUGUGACUUCUCUAGUACCAAGGAGCACUGAGGAGCACACACUGUUCGCAGAAAGCUUUAAUCAAAACGUCUUUAAUUUAUUUUUAUAACUUUGUGUCCUCCCCACAGAGAUCGAACAGAGAGAAGGUUGUUUUAGACGAGAAAAAAAGACAACAUCUAUAAGAAGUGAUGGGAACAAUGGCGAUGCUAAAUCAAUGAUGAAGAACUAAAAGACAAAUUAUUUAGUAAUAAGUGUGGUUGUUUUUCUUUAACACCAGUCAUUUGUGAUAAAAUGUUUUCUUCAUGUAUUGAUUUGUGUGUGUGUGUGUGUGUGUGUGUGUGUGUGUGUGUGUGUGUGUGUGUGUGUGUGUACAAGCUUUGCUCAGAGAGAGUUCAGUAAGCUACAUCAAUUGAAGUAUAAAGUGUACAUAGACUUCACUCUUAGCUGUGGAGUGGUAAAUUCUAGGAUCACCUCAUUUUUCGGGGUGUGAUUUAUACUAUAAUAUGUGUUGGUGUUCUUGACAGUGUACAUACGAUGCUUUAUUUCUAGGGAUGAAACGAUGCUUUAUAUUUGAAAAGAAUUGUUACAUGUGUUCAGUGGAUGUUUAACCUGUAAACUCCAGUACAUCAAAUAAAAAUGUAUCAACCUUUAAAGUCUUA